Mauremys reevesii (Reeves's turtle) is the source of this 951-nucleotide long non-coding RNA. RefSeq lists it as uncharacterized. Lineage: Eukaryota; Metazoa; Chordata; Testudines; Geoemydidae. The transcript is spliced from 3 exons. The record is from RefSeq and is a predicted model, not a curated record.
UCCUGCCCACCCAAACCCGGAUUGAGAACCUGCCUGGCCCCUGUCACCAGCUGCGACUACCACCCUCACCUGGACUGAGAGGCUGUUUCGCUAUGUUCCCUAGUAGGGGCCAUGGUUCUCUAUCGUAUUUAUGCCCAAUACUGAGAAGCUAUUUGGCAGGCAUCUCAAGUAGGGACUAAGGUCUACUUCCUUCCAUUCUCUUCCCUGGGACUACCUCACUGGUCUGGAAGUCCACCCAAGAAGUUAUUUUCCAAAGGAACUCGCUAUCAUGCUUGUAUAAUAAAGCACCAUCUUGCUUCAUUUUUUCCCUAACCCAUUGGAUUAUGUAUGGUUUUUUGUGAUGUUGCACUAGUAUGUGCUCAGGGUAUCUUGAAUCCCACGUGUUCCCAAUUUCAACCGACUGAAGCUUUGACCAAGGAUGCAAAAAAAAUUAUGGAGAUUCAGAACUUAGGCUGUCUCAAUGGUGCAAAAAUAUCCUUAGUGAUCUAUAAAAGGAUGUACCGUGUACUAUACUUUUUGUAUCUAAAGUCAUUUCUAAAGUUUUAUAGCUGAAUUAAGUACUUGUUUUUAUGGAGCACCGGAAGCCGAUUGAAUCACUCUUAUUUUAUAUACUCUCUACUUUAGUGACACUUAUUUGGUCAAUGAAGACUUUUACUGCAUCUUCAGCCUUCUCUGAAUCCAUCUUCUACAUGCUCCAGCAGUCCACUUUAAAGUCCACACCAAAGUCCACACCAAAUGUUGCUGCUACAGCAUGAUGUGAGAAGAUAAAGAGGUCAUAGUUAUAUGUACACCCAUUGCAUAUUGAUAGUUUUGGAAUGGUGAGCAGUGCCCAGAACUCUCGGCUGCAGAAGGCCACGUUCCUGGAUUUGUGUGCCAAGCUCACCCCAGCCCUCCAGUAUGUGGACACCAGAAUUACAGCUGCACUGACAGUUGAGAAGCAAGUGGCAACCA